This 1580-nucleotide ribosomal RNA is filed under the name Myxobolus sp. n. 1 SZ-2019. RNAcentral's name for it is "SSU rRNA". It matches the Rfam family "Eukaryotic small subunit ribosomal RNA", at positions 311 to 1711 of the family's 1831-position model. The record is from RNAcentral. Lineage: Eukaryota; Metazoa; Cnidaria; Myxozoa; Bivalvulida; Myxobolidae.
CCUAUCAACUCGUUGGUAAGGUAGUGGCUUACCAAGGUUGCAACGGGUAACGGGGAAUCAGGGUUCGAUUCCGGAGAGGGAGCCUGAGAAACGGCUACCACAUCCAAGGAAGGCAGCAGGCGCGCAAAUUACCCAAUCCAGACAAUGGGAGGUGGUGACCAGAAGUACUGGGUGGUGGACAUUGUCUACUAAUCCCGGAAUGAGCGUAAAGUAAAAAAUUAGUCGAGUAACAACUGGAGGGCAAGUCUGGUGCCAGCAGCCGCGGUAAUUCCAGCUCCAGUAGCAUGUCGUAAAGUUGUUGCGUUUAAAACGCUCGUAGUUGGAUCAUACGGUGUUAUUCAGUUGAUUUGCGUCAUGUAGACGUUCAAUUCAAUGUUGUCUGAUGGUUGGGUAAACUAACCUGAUGAUAAUAUUGUAGUUUGCUGCGUAGAUUGUUUGCUGGAUAGCACUACUUGCAUGUAAGAAUGAUGGUUGGCCUUAAGUGCGUUGGCCAUUGUGUCUUACAGGGUGUGCCUUGAAUAAAUCAAAGUGCUUAAAGCAGGUAUGUGCCUGAAUGAUACAGCAUGGAACGAACAAAUGUGUAUAAUGUAUGAUGAUGUGUAGUUAUGCGUUAUUGUACAUAUCACCAGCCACCAUGUACGGAUGUUGGUUUCCGUGAUGGGGUGAUGAUUAAAACGAGCGGUUGGGGGCAUUGGUAUUUGGCCGCGAGAGGUGAAAUUCUUAGACCGGCCAAGGACUAACAAAAGCGAAGGCAUUUGCCAAGACCGUCUCGAUUGAUCAAGAACGAUAGUGAGAGGUUCGAAGACGAUCAGAUACCGUCCUAGUUCUCACCAUAAACGAUGCCGACCCGGGAUCAGUUUUGAGCUAAAUAUAACGCUCGAGGUUGGUCCCCCUGGGAAACCUAAAGUGUUUGGGUUACGGGGGGAGUAUGGUCGCAAGGCUGAAACUUAAAGGAAUUGACGGAAGGGCACCACCAGGGGUGGAGCCUGCGGCUUAAUUUGACUCAACACGGGAAAACUCACCAGCUCAGGACGUCAAAAGGAUAGACAGACUGAUAGAUCUUUCUUGAUAUGAUGGUUGGUGGUGCAUGGCCGUUCUUAGUUCGUGAAUUGCUUUGUCAGAUUGAUUUCGGUAACGAACGAGACCAAAAUCUCUAUUUACGACGUUGAAUGGUUAACGUAUGUUGGCCCUACAUGUAUGAUAUAACUGAAGGAUACGUCCGUAGGUUGUAUUGUAUGUGUUGACUUUAACGAUGUCAUAUGCAGCAAUGUAUGUGACUGCAUAGAGAGACAACUGACAAUAAUUAUAAAAUCAGAGGAAGUUUGGCAAUAACAGGUCUGUGAUGCCCUUAGACGUGCUGGGCUGCACGCGCGCUACAAUGAUAACGGCAACAAGUUAUCUGAUCCGACAGGAUUGGGGAAUCUACAAUCGUUAUCGUGAUGGGGAUUGUUCGUUGUAAUUCGAACAUGAAAUAGGAAUCCCUUGUACGUGUACUUCAUCUAGAGUACGCGGAAUGGGUCCCUGCCCUUUGUACACACCGCCCGUCGCUACUACCGAGUGAAUGGCGUCAUGAUGCGUUG